This 760-nucleotide ribosomal RNA is filed under the name uncultured bacterium. RNAcentral's name for it is "bacterial SSU rRNA". It matches the Rfam family "Bacterial small subunit ribosomal RNA", at positions 126 to 898 of the family's 1533-position model. The record is from RNAcentral.
CUGCCCCGAAGAGGGGGACAACUCCUCGAAAGAGGAGCUAAUACCCCGGAUGUCCAGGUAGUUAGAGAGCUUGGACUGAAGCCCUGCAAAGGGCGCUACGGGAGGGGCCUGCGGGCUAUCAGCUAGUUGGUGGGGUAAAGGCCUACCAAGGCGAAGACGGCUAGGGGGCGUGAGAGCGUGGUCCCCCACAAUGGAACUGAGACACGGUCCAUACUCCUACGGGAGGCAGCAGUGAGGAAUAUUGAGCAAUGGGCGCAAGCCUGACUCAGCAACGCCGCGUGGAUGACGAAGGCCUUCGGGUUGUAAAAUCCUUUUCUUGGGGACGAUAAUGACGGUACCUGAGGAAUAAGUUCCGGCUAACUACGUGCCAGCAGCCGCGGUAAAACGUAGGGAACAAGCGUUAUCCGGAUUUACUGGGCGUAAAGCGCAUGUAGGUGGCAUUGAAAGUUGGACGUGAAAACUCCUGGCUUAACUGGGAGAGGUCGUACAAAACUACAAAGCUAGAGGAUGGAAGAGGAGAGUGGAAUUCCCGGUGUAGUGGUGGAAUGCGUAGAUAUCGGGAGGAACACCAGUGGUGAAAACGGCUCUCUGGUCCGUACCUGACACUGAGAUGCGAAAGCGUGGGGAGCGAACGGGAUUAGAUACCCCGGUAGUCCACGCUGUAAACGAUGGAUACUAGGUGUAGGCGGUCAUUUACCCCGCCUGUGCCGAAGCCAACGCGUUAAGUAUCCCGCCUGGGGACUACGGCCGCAAGGUUAAA